AAGAUGGGAUUUAUAAAGUGAGGGAAUAGAAAGGCUUAGUGCACAAUGUCGACGGCUUCCAUUAACAGUGCAAGCUGCCUUCUUUCUCUUAACAAAACCUCUUCUUCUUCUUCUAAUAUUAAUCGGCCUUCUAUUUCUGCAAGGCUUAACAAUAACCCUUCUCCUUCUCUCCCUAAUCUCAUCCAAAACAGGCCUGUUUUUGCUGCCCCUUCCCCUCUUAUCACCCCCACUUGGAGAGAAGAUAUGGGGAAUGGUUCAUAUGAGGAAGCCAUUGAGGCUUUGGAGAAGCUCCUCAGAGAGAAGGGAGAUUUGAAGGCUGCAGCAACAUCAAAAGUGGAACAGAUAACAGCAGAAUUGAAAACUGUAGAUGGAGAAAAGCCAGCCUUUGAUCCUGUUGAGAGAAUCAAAUCUGGUUUCAUUCACUUCAAGAAGGAGAAAUAUGACAAGAACCCAGAGUUGUAUGGUGAACUUGCAAAGGGCCAAAGCCCCAAGUUUAUGGUGUUUGCUUGCUCUGAUUCAAGAGUUUGCCCAUCACAUGUUCUUGAUUUCCAACCAGGGGAGGCUUUUGUGGUCAGAAAUGUUGCCAAUUUGGUUCCUCCAUAUGAUCAGAGCAAAUUUUCAGGUACUGGAUCUGCCAUUGAAUAUGCUGUUCUUCAUCUCAAGGUGCAAUACAUUGUUGUGAUUGGUCACAGUGCUUGUGGUGGUAUUAAGGGGCUCAUGACUUUCCCAUUUGAUGGAAACUACUCAACUGAUUUCAUUGAAGAAUGGGUGAAAGUUGGUCUGCCUGCUAAGGCCAAGGUGAAAUCAAAGCAUGGUGAUGCAGACCUUGGGGAACUGUGCACACACUGUGAAAAGGAAGCAGUUGCUGUAUCUCUUGGGAAUCUGCUAACCUAUCCAUUUGUUAGGGAUGGUUUGGUGAAUGGAACUCUUGGACUCAAGGGAGGUCAUUACGACUUCAUUAAUGGAACUUUCGAGCUCUGGGGACUCGAAUUCAACGUUACUCAGCCUUUGUCUGUAUGAACUCCAUCUAUUACCGGCGGAUCGAUAUGGUUUUUCUCACUGAUUUUCUUCGUAAAGGAUGUGGCCACCAUUCUGCACUGGAAGCUCUAGGAACAUGUUUAGAAGUCAAUCCUGUAAAGAUGAGACUUCUUUUAAUAACACACUCUUUGGUGAUGUUGAAAUAAGCCUGUUUUUUUCUUGA
Benincasa hispida (wax gourd) is the source of this 1201-nucleotide RNA transcript. It is a transcript of the gene named carbonic anhydrase 2, with no coding region annotated. Lineage: Eukaryota; Viridiplantae; Streptophyta; Magnoliopsida; Cucurbitales; Cucurbitaceae. The record is from RefSeq and is a predicted model, not a curated record.